AUGCAUGCAUGCAUGCGCUAAGUUGCUGCUAGCUCUUGCAAGAUAGAGCUAGAUCUAGCUAGGCUCUUCUAGAACAUUCGCUAUGAUUCGAGAAGGUGACUUGUUUGUAUGUGUAUAAAGGAAGGAAGCUUGGCUCGCUCGCUCAGUCUCUGUGAAGAAAAGAUUCAAAGAAACUACGAUGUCUAUUAUACGCAUUAUUUUGGCCUGUAUUGUGUUCAUCAUUGUAAUCAUUCACACAAUUCUUGGUGUCAAAAAAGGAUUAAAAAUUCUUGAUGAUCCAAGGCCUAUGACUCUAAAAAGUACUUUAGGCAUUAUAACAGAAGCUAUUACUUAAGUGCAGCCUUAAAAGGCAGUACGCAACCACACAUGAGUGUCAGUCUCUCACCCACAUUGUAUACUGAUCAGUGACCGGGAGCCUGGUCAGUUAUACAUAAUGUACUUGGUGCUCGACUCGACAGAUACAUUUAUUGUGUGU
Amphimedon queenslandica is the source of this 475-nucleotide long non-coding RNA. RefSeq lists it as uncharacterized. The record is from RefSeq and is a predicted model, not a curated record. Lineage: Eukaryota; Metazoa; Porifera; Demospongiae; Haplosclerida; Niphatidae. The transcript has 3 exons.